Molecule: long non-coding RNA, 1105 nt
Organism: Pongo pygmaeus (Bornean orangutan)
Lineage: Eukaryota; Metazoa; Chordata; Mammalia; Primates; Hominidae
Exons: 3
Source: RefSeq, a predicted model, not a curated record
CGGACCUGAACGAGGCGGCAAGGUCGGUUCUACCCCGCCGGGCCUUCCCCGCGCUCCCCGGCGCCCCCAGCCCGCUGACCCCCGGCCAGGCAGGCCCGCGGGGGAGGCAGGACCGGAGCCCGGAGGCCCUGGCCGGUCUCGGGGUUGAUGCUCAGCUCAGGAUAAGUGAUCUUUGGGGCCCGCAGAGGACGUCUCCCCAAGACCCAGUGUCAACCGGCUGGUGGUCAGUGGAGCGGCUCCCCCAGGGGCAAGGAACAUUUUGCCAGGCUUGGAUUAACUUCUGCAUUGCUGAGCCCCACCCCAGCACCACAUUAACUCAUGAAGACAUCCUGGAGUGGGGGUGGAGGAGGAGGCGGGAGGAUGGUGCUGGGCACCGAUUGAGAAAUUGAGCCUGGAUAAGGCAGCACCAAGGCUAACAGCCAGGAUACAGCCCACAGCCGGUCUGCAAGGGAUGGAGACAUCAGUAUCUUGCUGAUUCUAGUCACAAACCGCAAACCCACUGCCCUUUCCUUCGCAGCAGCUAGUACAGCUCCUGGCCAAGGGGCCCCUCUGGCUUAAGGUCCUUUAGUGACCUUCUCAUGCUGCCAACACAGAUUCAUGACCUCAGGAAGUUCAACCUCCUCAGGGUGGCUGAGUGAUCCCGGGGUGGGAGUAGGUGAGGACAGACCCCAGGAUCUCAGGCUGCCAAGCUGGACAAACAAGAAAGCAGGGAUACAGGCCAGUGUGACUGCGUGAACGGAGCGAGAACGCGAGGGACGAGAGGCGAGUUGUACUUCUCACCUAGGAGCUCCAGGACAGCCCCUGCUAUCCGCAAUUUGUUCUCUUUGGAGUAACCUCCGCUCACUGCAGGGCGGCAUUCAAGUCCAAAGUCCCACCCGAGGGAAAAAUCACAUGACCUCAGCUUAUAUAAUCUCCCUGUCACUGAACAGCUGGAACCCAAGGCUUCGGAAGAUGAGUCAGCAGCCCCAGUGGCAAAUAGGACCCAGUGGAUCCAGCCCUGCCUUGUCAAGUUCUGAAUGUUCUGGGAGGCACCAGCAUUUCUAUCUCCUGUGCCACUUCACAGAUGGCACAACAAAGCCAAGACUCCCUAAGUCAUAUUAUCAAA